UGGGGAAUAUUGCACAAUGGGCGCAAGCCUGAUGCAGCCAUGCCGCGUGUAUGAAGAAGGCCUUCGGGUUGUAAAGUACUUUCAGCGGGGAGGAAGGCGAUAAGGUUAAUAACCUUGUCGAUUGACGUUACCCGCAGAAGAAGCACCGGCUAACUCCGUGCCAGCAGCCCCGGUAAUACGGAGGGUGCAAGCGUUAAUCGGAAUUACUGGGCGUAAAGCGCACGCAGGCGGUCUGUCAAGUCGGAUGUGAAAUCCCCGGGCUCAACCUGGGAACUGCAUUCGAAACUGGCAGGCUAGAGUCUUGUAGAGGGGGGUAGAAUUCCAGGUGUAGCGGUGAAAUGCGUAGAGAUCUGGAGGAAUACCGGUGGCGAAGGCGGCCCCCUGGACAAAGACUGACGCUCAGGUGCGAAAGCGUGGGGAGCAAACA
This 427-nucleotide ribosomal RNA is filed under the name uncultured bacterium. RNAcentral describes it as "partial 16S ribosomal RNA". It matches the Rfam family "Bacterial small subunit ribosomal RNA", at positions 355 to 774 of the family's 1533-position model. The record is from RNAcentral.